This 741-nucleotide long non-coding RNA is filed under the name Vulpes vulpes (red fox). Its description in RNAcentral is "lncRNA (ENSVVUG00000003611.1)". Lineage: Eukaryota; Metazoa; Chordata; Mammalia; Carnivora; Canidae. The record is from RNAcentral.
CCCAUUUCUCCCUAUUCCUCUACUCUUCUCCCUCUCCCUUAACUCAUGCUCUGUGUCUCAAAUAAAUAAAUAAAAUCUUAAAAAAAAAACCCACCAAAACCAAAAAAACCUGCCCCUUACCAAUCUUCAGUGUGCCCUGUAUCUUUCUUCUAUCCCUCCCACCUACAGAGGUUUCAAGUUCAUCUCCUACUCAGGGAGGUUUCAAGUUCACCCAGGGGAACUCCGAGGUUUCCAACCAACAUACCCACACGACUGUGAAAUGGCACCAGGGAGCACUUUCAGCGACAGGCAGAAGUGUGUGGAUGUGUUGGACCAAACCUGAAACAUUUGUUCCUUUCAACCUGUCAUCCUUCAUUAAGUCAGCCGGCAGCUAAGGCAUCUGAAAGGACGCCGCCAGGAUGCCACCCAAGAAAGCCAAUAUUGUGUGCAAGUUAACAUUAUAAAGCCCAAGCCUUCACAUUUGGUGAUUUUGUGAAAUGGGAUUCUCCACUUCAAAUAGACUUCCUUUUCACUGAACUUACCAAGUUGCAUUCAGGUCAGUUCAUCAGUCCUUAAACAUCUGGUUUUUCAGAAGCAGUGACCAAUACAAUGAAAUCCCUUCCCUCUGUUCUAUCCUCCUUAAAAAGUUGUUUUGACUCAAAGGAGAAAAGUUUUCUUUUCUGCCCCUCUGCUCUGUCCCCAAAUACACAGUUUUUCAGAGCUCCAGAGUUUCUCUGAAGCUACACAAAAGAUUUGGCAUCU